UGCCAGCAGCCGCGGUAAUACGGAGGGUGCUAGCGUUGUUCGGAAUCACUGGGCUUAAAGCGCGUGUAGGCGGUUCGUUAAGUCUGAUGUGAAAGCCCGGGGCUCAACCCCGGAAGUGCAUUGGAAACUGGCGAACUUGAGUACGGGAGAGGAAAGUGGAAUUCCGAGUGUAGGGGUGAAAUCCGUAGAUAUUCGGAGGAACACCAGUGGCGAAGGCGGCUUUCUGGACCGGAACUGACGCUGAUGCACGAAAGCGUGGGUAGCAAACAGGAUUAGAUA
RNAcentral lists this ribosomal RNA (279 nucleotides) under uncultured bacterium. RNAcentral describes it as "partial 16S ribosomal RNA". It matches the Rfam family "Bacterial small subunit ribosomal RNA", at positions 506 to 784 of the family's 1533-position model. The record is from RNAcentral.